GAGGGCAUAGCUCAGUUAAUAGAGUGUUUGCCUCACAUGCCAAAGCUCUGGGUUCAAUUCCCAGCACCAACA
This 72-nucleotide transfer RNA is filed under the name Ictidomys tridecemlineatus (thirteen-lined ground squirrel). Its description in RNAcentral is "Spermophilus tridecemlineatus (thirteen-lined ground squirrel) tRNA". It matches the Rfam family "tRNA". Rfam says of the family: Transfer RNA (tRNA) molecules are approximately 80 nucleotides in length. Their secondary structure includes four short double-helical elements and three loops (D, anti-codon, and T loops). RNAcentral also lists the same sequence under 1 other name. Lineage: Eukaryota; Metazoa; Chordata; Mammalia; Rodentia; Sciuridae. The record is from Rfam by way of RNAcentral.